ACAAUGUCUUGUGCAAUGAAAGCUAAUGCUUUCCUAUUCAAGAAUUCAGAACCGCAUACUAGUAUCUACACCUAGGACUUGUACUAAAUUUUCCAUAUAUUUCAAUGGCAGAAACAGUAAGAGUAGUAGACCUGUGUGGUUCAGAAUUCAGCAAUGCAUCACUAGAUGACAUCACUUCCUUCAUCGCCUGCAUUUAAUUCAUAGUGGAAUCAGUCAGCAGAGAGAGACGACAUGAUUAAUGCUCCCUAUCUCAGUGUUUCUUUCUUUGUCUUGUGUCUUGCAGUGACCAUUCUUGGUAAAAGUGUUGUCCAGACUCCUCCUGAUCUCCUGAAGAAAGAAGAUGAAUUUGCAGAGAUCGAAUGUUCACACAAAGUACAAAGCUAUAAUGUCAUACAGUGGUACAAACAAAGCCAGAGCAUCAUGGAUCUUCAGCUCAUGGGAUACCUUAAUAUUGGUUAUGAGAACAAAGAGACUGCGUUUGAAAACAAGAUCAAACUGAAAGGAGAUGGAAGAAAUAAUGGCACUCUGACUAUCAAGAACCUCAUGCUGAAUGACAGUGCAGUGUAUUUCUGUGCAGCAUAUUACACAGUGUUCAGAAUCACAUCUGUCUAAUACAAAAACCUCCUCCCCUGUUACAAGAUUAUCAGUGGCUGCA
This is a non-coding RNA of Ctenopharyngodon idella (grass carp), 655 nucleotides long. NCBI's taxonomy places the organism in Eukaryota, Metazoa, Chordata, Actinopteri, Cypriniformes, Xenocyprididae. The record is from the annotation of a RefSeq genome assembly.